Molecule: ribosomal RNA, 159 nt
Filed under: Pythium sp. BP-2009c
Lineage: Eukaryota; Oomycota; Peronosporomycetes; Pythiales; Pythiaceae
Description: 5.8S ribosomal RNA
Rfam family: 5.8S ribosomal RNA
About the family: 5.8S ribosomal RNA (5.8S rRNA) is a component of the large subunit of the eukaryotic ribosome. It is transcribed by RNA polymerase I as part of the 45S precursor that also contains 18S and 28S rRNA.
Source: RNAcentral
CAACUUUCAGCAGUGGAUGUCUAGGCUCGCACAACGAUGAAGAACGCUGCGACCUGCGAUACGUAAUGCGAAUUGCAGAAUUCAGUGAGUCAUCGAAAUUUUGAACGCACAUUGCACUUUCGGGUUAUGCCUGGAAGUAUGCCUGUAUCAGUGUCCGUA